Molecule: ribosomal RNA, 253 nt
Filed under: uncultured bacterium
Lineage: Bacteria
Description: partial 16S ribosomal RNA
Rfam family: Bacterial small subunit ribosomal RNA
Source: RNAcentral
UACAGAGGUCCCGAGCGUUGUUCGGAUUCAUUGGGCGUAAAGGGUGCGUAGGCGGUCUUCUAAGUUUGAUGUGAAAUCCCGGGGCUUAACCCUGGAAUUGCAUUGAAUACUGGAGGACUUGAGUACCGGAGAGGAAACUGGAAUUUACGGUGUAGCAGUGAAAUGCGUAGAGAUCGUAAGGAAGACCAGUGGCGAAGGCGAGUUUCUGGACGGUAACUGACGCUGAGGCACGAAGGCCAGGGGAGCAAACGGG